This 253-nucleotide ribosomal RNA is filed under the name uncultured bacterium. Its description in RNAcentral is "partial 16S ribosomal RNA". It matches the Rfam family "Bacterial small subunit ribosomal RNA", at positions 524 to 776 of the family's 1533-position model. The record is from RNAcentral.
UACGUAGGGGGCUAGCGUUGUCCGGAAUCAUUGGGCGUAAAGCGCGUGUAGGCGGUCCGGUAAGUCCGCUGUGAAAGUCGGGGGCUCAACCCUCGGAUGCCGGUGGAUACUGUCGGGCUUGAGUACGGAAGAGGCGAGUGGAAUUCCUGGUGUAGCGGUGAAAUGCGCAGAUAUCAGGAGGAACACCAGUGGCGAAGGCGGUUGCCUGGGGCUUUGCUGACGCUGAUGCGCGAAAGCGUGGGGAGCGAUCCGG